Molecule: ribosomal RNA, 253 nt
Filed under: uncultured bacterium
Lineage: Bacteria
Description: partial 16S ribosomal RNA
Rfam family: Bacterial small subunit ribosomal RNA
Source: RNAcentral
UACGUAGGUGGCGAGCGUUGUCCGGAAUUACUGGGUGUAAAGGGCGUGUAGGCGGGAUUGUAAGUCAGAUGUGAAAUUCCAAGGCUCAACUUUGGAGCUGCAUCUGAAACUGCGAUUCUUGAGUGCUGGAGAGGAUAGUGGAAUUCCUAGUGUAGCGGUGAAAUGCGUAGAUAUUAGGAGGAACACCAGUGGCGAAGGCGGCUAUCUGGACAGUAACUGACGCUGAGACGCGAAAGCGUGGGGAGCAAACAGG